AAUCAACGCUGGCGGCGUGCCUCAGACAUGCAAGUCGAACGCGAAAGUCUCCUUCGGGGGACAAGUAGAGUGGCGCACGGGUGAGUAACACGUAGGUAAUCUACCUUCGGAUGGGGAAUAACAAUCGGAAACGGUUGCUAAUACCGCAUAAUGCAGCGGCACCUAAUGGUGACAGUUGUUAAAGCGGGGGAUCGCAAGACCUCGCGUCUGAAGAGGAGCCUGCGGCGGAUUAGCUAGUUGGUAAGGUAACGGCUUACCAAGGCGACGAUCCGUAGCCGGCCUGAGAGGGCGGUCGGCCACACUGACACUGACAUACGGGUCAGACUCCUACGGGAGGCAGCAGUCGGGAAUUUUGGGCAAUGGGCGAAAGCCUGACCCAGCAACGCCGCGUGAAGGAUGAAAUCCCUCGGGAUGUAAACUUCGCAAGAACGGGAAGAAUAAGUCUGCGUGAAUAUCACAGGCGAUGACGGUACCGUUUGUAAGCUCCGGCUAACUCCGUGCCAGCAGCCGCGGUAAUACGGGGGGAGCAAGCGUUGUUCGGAUUUACUGGGCGUAAAGGGCGCGUAAGCGGCCAGCGCAAGUCAGUUGUGAAAUCUCCGGGCUUAACUCGGAAAGGUCAACUGAUACUGCGCGGCUAGAGUGC
RNAcentral lists this ribosomal RNA (643 nucleotides) under uncultured soil bacterium. RNAcentral describes it as "bacterial SSU rRNA". It matches the Rfam family "Bacterial small subunit ribosomal RNA", at positions 28 to 649 of the family's 1533-position model. The record is from RNAcentral.